AAGCUUCUGCCUAAUCGUGUGUAUCGUCUCACCGCCUGGGUGUAGGGGGAAAGCCCCGGCGCAAAAGGGUGUAAUAAAUGUAUUAGUCAGUCAGUGUCUACGUAUUCCUACUUGGGUGGGGGAAAAAGGAAGGCAUGACUCAGAAUG
Caenorhabditis elegans is the source of this 147-nucleotide non-coding RNA. The record is from Ensembl. Lineage: Eukaryota; Metazoa; Nematoda; Chromadorea; Rhabditida; Rhabditidae.